UGGGGAAUAUUGGACAAUGGGCGCAAGCCUGAUCCAGCCAUGCCGCGUGUGUGAAGAAGGCCUUCGGGUUGUAAAGCACUUUUGUCCGGAAAGAAAAGCUUCGGGUUAAUACCCCGGGGUUCUGACGGUACCGGAAGAAUAAGCACCGGCUAACUUCGUGCCAGCAGCCGCGGUAAUACGAAGGGUGCAAGCGUUACUCGGAAUUACUGGGCGUAAAGCGUGCGUAGGUGGUUUGUUAAGUCUGAUGUGAAAGCCCUGGGCUCAACCUGGGAAUUGCAUUGGAUACUGGCAGGCUAGAGUGCGGUAGAGGAUGGCGGAAUUCCCGGUGUAGCAGUGAAAUGCGUAGAGAUCGGGAGGAACAUCUGUGGCGAAGGCGGCAUCCUGGCCCUGUCCUGACGCUCAGGGGCGAAAGCGUGGGGAGCAAACAGGAUUAGAUACCCAUGUAGUCCCUGAGCGGGCUGGCAAGGCGCAU
This 472-nucleotide ribosomal RNA is filed under the name uncultured bacterium. Its description in RNAcentral is "bacterial SSU rRNA". It matches the Rfam family "Bacterial small subunit ribosomal RNA", at positions 355 to 825 of the family's 1533-position model. The record is from RNAcentral.